AGAGAGUUCAAGAGGACGUGAAAUCACCUGGAUAGAAGCGGAUAGAGUUAACGAGACGGGCGGCAUUCAGGUCGUGCGUUGCCGUGAAGCGGUUGGUGCCUUUAAUGGUGCUGUAAGUCCGAUAAUCGGUGGCGUUUCGUACUGCACUUGCCGUUCGUAUACGCUGAGGCGGCCGAUUGCUCCUUCCGAUGUGCAUAGCGUGGCCCACCUUGUGUGGUGUCCUGUUGUGUGCGGAGGUUGAUGUAGUGGUUGGUCGGUUUAUGUGUUCGGCCUCUGCGCAGUGUGUCGUGGCCAGUUUUGCAUACAGUGUCGGAGGCUUGCCUCUUGGUGUUGUGUGUAGGGCUGGUGCGGCUCGUUGCUUGAACACGUUCUCGGUGUCAAAAGUUGACCACCUAUCCGACCCGUCUUGAAACACGGACCAAGAAGUCUAGUACGUGCGCGAGUCAUUGAGUGGAAAACUCAUAUGGCGUAAUGAAAGUAAAGAUCAGCGUUGGUUGAUUGAUAUGUGAUCCGUGGGCUUGCUCGCGGCGCAACAUAGCCCCAUGCUAACUGCUUGCAGCGGUGUGGAGGUAGAGCGUACGUACUGGGACCCGAAAGAUGGUGAACUAUGCUUGAGCAGGACGAAGUCAGAGGAAACUCUGAUGGAGGUCCGUAGCGGUUCUGACGUGCAAAUCGAUCGUCGGACUUGAGUAUAGGGGCGAAAGACUAAUCGAACCAUC
RNAcentral lists this ribosomal RNA (719 nucleotides) under Acrostichus floridensis. RNAcentral describes it as "eukaryotic LSU rRNA". It matches the Rfam family "Eukaryotic large subunit ribosomal RNA", at positions 382 to 944 of the family's 3401-position model. Lineage: Eukaryota; Metazoa; Nematoda; Chromadorea; Rhabditida; Diplogasteridae. The record is from RNAcentral.